UACGUAGGGGGCUAGCGUUGUCCGGAAUCAUUGGGCGUAAAGCGCGUGUAGGCGGUUCGGUAAGUCCGCUGUGAAAGUCGGGGGCUCAACCCUCGAAUGCCGGUGGAUACUGUCGGACUAGAGUACGGAAGAGGCGAGUGGAAUUCCUGGUGUAGCGGUGAAAUGCGCAGAUAUCAGGAGGAACACCAAUUGCGAAGGCAGCUCGCUGGGACGUUACUGAGCUGAGACGCGAAAAGCGUGGGGGAGCAAACAGG
Molecule: ribosomal RNA, 254 nt
Filed under: uncultured bacterium
Lineage: Bacteria
Description: partial 16S ribosomal RNA
Rfam family: Bacterial small subunit ribosomal RNA
Source: RNAcentral